Molecule: transfer-messenger RNA, 349 nt
Filed under: Clostridiales bacterium
Lineage: Bacteria; Bacillati; Bacillota; Clostridia; Eubacteriales
Also listed under: 1 other name
Rfam family: transfer-messenger RNA
About the family: Bacterial tmRNA, also known as 10Sa RNA or SsrA, is named for its dual tRNA and mRNA-like properties.
Source: RNAcentral
GGGGGUGCACUGGUUUCGACGGGGAUGGACGAGGCACUGUAAGCGAGCCGUGGACCCUGGCCACGUUAAAACGGGGAAAUAAAAGUAACUGACAACAAUCAGAAUUACGCUUUCGCGGCCUAAGGCCCGAACGUCGACCUUGAGCGCUCACGGCUUAAGACAAUCGGCGUCAAUAAUGUGAGGAACUGGUGCAUCUAAGCUUUGCGAUGUACCCGAACGAUGAAGCUACCGACCCCAAGAGCCUGCCACUCGGCGCUUGGGCGGGGGAAUCGUAAUAGAUAGGCUACGCUCGUAGAAAACGGUGUUGGCGUGUUCUCGGACAGGGGUUCGAUUCCCCUCACCUCCACCA